RNAcentral lists this ribosomal RNA (405 nucleotides) under uncultured bacterium. RNAcentral describes it as "bacterial SSU rRNA". It matches the Rfam family "Bacterial small subunit ribosomal RNA", at positions 356 to 776 of the family's 1533-position model. The record is from RNAcentral.
GGGGAAUAUUGGGCAAUGGACGCAAGUCUGACCCAGCAACGCCGCGUGAAGGAAGAAGGCUUUCGGGUUGUAAACUUCUUUUAAGGGGGAAGAGCAGAAGACGGUACCCCUUGAAUAAGCCACGGCUAACUACGUGCCAGCAGCCGCGGUAAUACGUAGGUGGCAAGCGUUGUCCGGAUUUAGUGGGUGUAAAGGGCGUGCAGCCGGAGAGACAAGUCAGAUGUGAAAUCCACGGGCUCAACCCGUGAACUGCAUUUGAAACUGUUUCCCUUGAGUGUCGGAGAGGUAAUCGGAAUUCCUUGUGUAGCGGUGAAAUGCGUAGAUAUAAGGAAGAACACCAGUGGCGAAGGCGGAUUACUGGACGAUAACUGACGGUGAGGCGCGAAAGCGUGGGGAGCAAACAGG